Molecule: ribosomal RNA, 439 nt
Filed under: uncultured bacterium
Lineage: Bacteria
Description: partial 16S ribosomal RNA
Rfam family: Bacterial small subunit ribosomal RNA
Source: RNAcentral
CUACGGGCUGCUGCAGCGAGGAAUAUUGCACAAUGGGGGGAACCCUGAUGCAGCAACGCCGCGUGGAGGAUGACGCAUUUCGGUGUGUAAACUCCUUUUAUAUGUCAAGAAAAUGACGGUAGCAUAUGAAUAAGCACCGGCUAACUCCGUGCCAGCAGCCGCGGUAAUACGGAGGGUGCAAGCGUUACUCGGAAUCACUGGGCGUAAAGGACGCGUAGGCGGGUUGGAAAGUCAGGUGUGAAAUCCUACAGCCUAACUGUAGAACUGCACUUGAAACUUCUAAUCUAGAGUAUGGGAGGGGGAGAUGGAAUUAGUGGUGUAGGGGUAAAAUCCGUAGAUAUCACUAGGAAUACCUAAAGCGAAGGCGAUCUCCUGGAACAUUACUGACGCUAAGGCGUGAAAGCGUGGGGAGCAAACAGGAUUAGAUACCCGGGUAGUC